AAAAAAGAAAGCGCCAGAACUUAAAUCAAAAAAAUUUAAGUUGACGAGGACUGAAGACAUUCGAAAAUUCGGCGGGUACUUCAGAGGGAGCUGUACCCUGAGAAACUUUACAAACCCACAGAGUGAUUUGUGGAACAAAAGA
Molecule: non-coding RNA, 142 nt
Filed under: uncultured Fusobacterium sp.
Lineage: Bacteria; Fusobacteriati; Fusobacteriota; Fusobacteriia; Fusobacteriales; Fusobacteriaceae
Description: glmS glucosamine-6-phosphate activated ribozyme
Rfam family: glmS glucosamine-6-phosphate activated ribozyme aptamer
About the family: This entry contains a glucosamine-6-phosphate activated ribozyme that is found in the mRNA for GlmS. GlmS is an enzyme that uses fructose-6-phosphate and glutamine to generate glucosamine-6-phosphate.
Source: RNAcentral